GGAAAUGCUGAGCGGGCCUCCCUCAAAACUUAGUCCUGCAUGGUGGCGCUGAAAAAAGAAACAAACAAUUAACUCAAUGCUGCUGUCUUGGACAACAAAUCAUCAACAGUCGGCGCGACGCUGAGAGGACUGCCGGAGACAUAAAGCAGAUGUAGUAAUCUGGCUCACACCCCUUCACUUGAAGGAUAUGGAAGGAAGGUUGAGGUAAUGGCAUGCUGGCACAAGUCAGCUUGGCUGCCCCACUGAAGACACAAAAAACCACGAGGCGACUUGACCUCCCUCCCCAACCCCCAUGGGAGAAGCCGAGGAACAGCUGCUGCACCAUCAUCGCAAGAGCGAGUGUGUCUGAGCAGAAAGAGGAGCUGUGUUCCUGCCAUAAUCCAUCAUGUCACAGGAGCCGAUGUUUCCAUCCAGACGUUGUCGAGCCACCUGUUAGGUGAACAGGUGCACAAAGUGAGGCCUGUCAAAACACUUACCUUGAAUUAACAGCAAUUCUGUCUGUAAAUGAUCCUUUGAUAAAAAUAUAUUUUAUAAUAAUACAAUAUAAAGGGUGUUAUAAAAUAAUAGUAUGGAUAAGUAUUAUCCACAAAGAUAUGUUAAUUGAUCUUGUUAAGAAUGUUAAAAAAGAUAUGAUAUAUCUCCUCUCCCCUGAAAAAAAAAUCUGAAUGUAUAAAUAUGCAAUUAAACUUUUAAUUGUAAAAUACUUAAAGUACCUUGUGGAGUGCCAAUCACAUACACUGUUACCGUGAGAUUUUAUCCUAUUUAACUCAAAUUGAGGUUGAGCGUGGAAGAUCUCUCCCUCUUGGGCAGAUGAAUAUGGAAACAGCCUCCUAGUGUCAAGCUCUUCACGUCAACAUGCACAGGGAAGGCCAAACAUCAGGGAGAAACAACAAUAACUAAAACACUUGGAGUGGACAGGGACUUUAACAUUUUCAAUGGUUGAAGUUUUAAGUCAUGGUUAAGUGAGAAACAAUUUGCCUAAGAAAUGUUGAAUUCACCCAGUAGGAAUGGGGUUGUCAGAGGUGAAGGCGAAUGUAUCCACCUGUCCAACACCAUGACCGCAGCACUUAUUUCUCACUGCACAGGUCUACAGUACAUCAGGAACAGUACAUGCACAGUGAAGUAAUCCUUGCAUGCGGGUGACAUUUAUUUCCUUCACUCUUCAUGCAUACAGACAGUAUUUUAAGUAGCAUAUUGCGCGUGUCAUCGU
Molecule: long non-coding RNA, 1210 nt
Organism: Scophthalmus maximus (turbot)
Lineage: Eukaryota; Metazoa; Chordata; Actinopteri; Pleuronectiformes; Scophthalmidae
Exons: 4
Source: RefSeq, a predicted model, not a curated record